RNAcentral lists this ribosomal RNA (453 nucleotides) under uncultured bacterium. Its description in RNAcentral is "bacterial SSU rRNA". It matches the Rfam family "Bacterial small subunit ribosomal RNA", at positions 29 to 524 of the family's 1533-position model. The record is from RNAcentral.
AGCGAACGCUGGCGGCAGGCCUAAAACAUGCAAGUCGAACGGACCCUUCGGGUUAGUGGCGGACGGGUGAGUAACACGUGGGAACGUGCCCUUUGGUUCAGAACAACUCAGGGAAACUUGAGCUAAUACUGAAUAAGCCCUACGGGGAAAGGAUUUAUCGCCAUUGGAGCGGCCCGCGUUGGAUUAGCUAGUUGGUGAGGUAAAGGCUCACCAAGGCUACGAUCCAUAGCUGGUCUGAGAGGAUGAUCAGCCACACUGGGACUGAGACACGGCCCAGACUCCUACGGGAGGCAGCAGUUAGGAAUCUUGCGCAAUGGGGCGAAAAGCCUGACGCAGCCAUGCCGCGUGAAUGAUGAAGGUCUUAGGAUUGUAAAAUUACUUUUCAGCGGGGAAGAAUAAUGACUGUACCCGCAGAAGAAGCUCCGCUAACUACGUGCCAGCCGCCGCAGUAAC